GACUAACGCUAACGGUGUGCUUAAUACAUGCAAGUCGAACGAGCAAUGUGAGAGUGGCAACACUCCUGCGAAGCUAGUGGCGAACGGGUGAGUAACGCGUAGGUAAUCUACCUUGAAGAUUAGGAUAACCUUCCGAAAGGAAGGCUAAUACUAAAUAUUUUAUGUUUUUCGUAUGAUUAAUAUAACAAAGGUAGCCGCAAGGCCUCCGCUUUAAGAUGAACCUGCGUCCUAUUAGCUUGUUGGUAAGGUAAUGGCUUACCAAGGCUAUGAUGGGUAGCCGGCCUGAGAGGGUGAUCGGCCACACUGGGACUGAGAUACGGCCCAGACUCCUACGGGAGGCAGCAGUAGGGAAUAUUGCGCAAUGGGCGAAAGCCUGACGCAGCGACACCGUGUGAAGGAUGAAGGUCUUCGGAUCGUAAACUUCUGUCAAUCGGGGACGAAGGUAAUAAGGUUAAUAGCCUUUAUUAUUGACGGUACCCAAUAAGGAAGUCUCGGCUAACUCCGUGCCAGCAGCCGCGGUAAGACGGAGGAGGCAAGCGUUGUCCGGAAUCAUUGGGCGUAAAGAGCGCGUAGGCGGUUUUUCAAGUCGUAUGUGAAAACUUCAGGCUUAACCUGAUGAUUGCAUAUGAAACUGGAUAACUUGAGUACAGCAGAGGAAAGUGGAAUUCCUGGUGUAGCGGUGAAAUGUGCAGAUAUCAGGAAGAACACCGGUAGCGAAGGCGGCUUUCUGGGCUGUUACUGACGCUGAGGCGCGAAAGCUAGGGGAGCAAACAGGAUUAGAUACCCUGGUAGUCCUAGCCGUAAACGAUGGACACUAGGUGUGGGAAGUUAUCGACGCUUUCUGUGCCGAAGCUAACGCAUUAAGUGUCCCGCCUGGGGAGUACGGCCGCAAGGCUGAAACUCAAAGGAAUUGACGG
Molecule: ribosomal RNA, 917 nt
Filed under: uncultured bacterium
Lineage: Bacteria
Description: bacterial SSU rRNA
Rfam family: Bacterial small subunit ribosomal RNA
Source: RNAcentral